UAUUGGACGUGUUUGUAUUCCUGAGAUCUUGAGGGCCUCAAUUUAGAGUUUAAAUCCGUUGCCGAAUUCAUAGUUCGUAAUGUCACAAAAAGUUUAAUCGGUUCAGUUGUUUUGGAAUCAAAGCAAAUUUGGGUGCUUCAGAGAAAUGAGAGUCAACCAUACUCACUAAAAAAUUUAAACCGAUUUUGUUUUUUAAUAGUUUAGAAAGUCGCUUGAUUUUAAUAUAUCGAUGAAACUUAUCAGUUGAAAAAGUUUGGUGUUCUCUAUUAUAAGUAUGAAAUUUUUCUUCAAACUAUAAAGCUAAUUUUUAAAUCUAAGAUGGACACUUAUAUUUCUUUUAGAAUAUAAUUACCAGUGUGACGCUCGCAACAAUUUCACUUUCCAAAGGUGUGAUGUAAUGAAGUUCAACUCAAAUAUUUUAGUGGAAGAACUAGAACUUGUCAAGAGGCGCCAAAGUUAGCGGCCUAUUACCAUCGCCAAUGCUACCUGAAGAUCCAUGGACACGAAAACAAUAACAACAGAACUAGAACUUAACUAGAGAGAAGUAUAUGGAACACAGUAAAAGACGUCCAGCAACUUAAUUCCAUACAUUUCCCCACGAAAAGGCAUUGCCACACGUUUCGGAAACAAGAAUUGAGACACUUGGCUAAUCUUUUACAAUUAAGUUUACUCUAGUUUGAUUUUUCGUAAGAAAAUGAAUUCAAUUUUAUGUCAAAGAAUGUGAAUUACUUCUUUUUUGUAAAUAAUGCUUUUAUUUUACAAACCUACUUAUAGCUAGCAAUAAAAUAUUUAUUUUCUAAGAUCAUAAAUUAAGUUUUAUUUAUUUUGUAACCAUUUU
This is a long non-coding RNA of Parasteatoda tepidariorum (common house spider), 838 nucleotides long. The record is from RefSeq and is a predicted model, not a curated record. Lineage: Eukaryota; Metazoa; Arthropoda; Arachnida; Araneae; Theridiidae.